CAUCAUUGGACUAUCAUUUCGGAAAGAUAAUUCGACGUCCAGAAAAUUCGAACGAUUUGAUUCUGACUAAUAGAUCUUGACCACAUGUCCAGAUGUUAUUGGCUCUGUACCAUUCAUACGAAUAAUGAUGAGGUGGCAUGAUUUGGGAGUAGGUGCAUCGAACUGUCCGAUCAAUGGUCGGUCUCGAUACAGCUACGUGUCGACAUCUGAGG
Molecule: long non-coding RNA, 212 nt
Filed under: Elaeis guineensis (African oil palm)
Lineage: Eukaryota; Viridiplantae; Streptophyta; Magnoliopsida; Arecales; Arecaceae
Description: long non-coding RNA (EGUI_LNC030111)
Source: RNAcentral